GCAUUGGUGGUUUAGUGGUAGAAUUCUCGCCUCCCAUGCGGGAGACCCAAGUUCAAUUCCCGGCCACUGCA
Molecule: non-coding RNA, 71 nt
Organism: Capra hircus (goat)
Lineage: Eukaryota; Metazoa; Chordata; Mammalia; Artiodactyla; Bovidae
Source: the annotation of a RefSeq genome assembly